GUGAGACAGUCAUGCUAUGGUAAAAAGGAGUAAGCAAAUACUGUGUCCGGGCCUACAUUAAAGAGUAUUGCACACAACGCAGAGGAAGAAGAGUUAAAGGACCGGAGACGUUACAUGUAUACGACUUUGGGAGACAGAUGAUGACCCGGAGCUGAAGGCUUUCUCUCCACUGGCCUCUCGCUCAACUGUGCUUCACUUUGGCUCAGAGUAACCUCAACUAAGAAUAUGUGCAUCAGCCCUCACUGCGUGUCUGACGGUGGACUACUGGAGUUCAUCACAUGCUCGACGAGAAUGCAGAACUGGCCACUACAUUUGCUCUCCUUUCUAGAUACUUCCAGCGGGUUUACAAGGAUGAGGCUGUCGGCAUCUUUUUACACAGCAUUCACAAUUUAACACACAUUAAAGACAUGAUGGUGUGGCACCCAUAUAAACGUUGGCCAACUUACUGAAAAAUAAUUUUAGGUUUACUUUUAAAUGGGUCAGAUGAUAUAUUUUCCUUUCAGUAUACACAAACUCACACAGAUACUUAUGCAUAUAUAAAGAGUAAAAAUGCUGGGUAUUAACACUGCUUAUGAUUUUGUGCUAUAUAAAUAAAACUUGAACUUGAGUUGCAUUUAGAAUUUGAA
Non-coding RNA from Danio rerio (zebrafish), 626 nucleotides. The record is from RefSeq and is a predicted model, not a curated record. NCBI's taxonomy places the organism in Eukaryota, Metazoa, Chordata, Actinopteri, Cypriniformes, Danionidae.